This 430-nucleotide ribosomal RNA is filed under the name Pseudomonadota bacterium. Its description in RNAcentral is "Proteobacteria bacterium partial 16S ribosomal RNA". It matches the Rfam family "Bacterial small subunit ribosomal RNA", at positions 355 to 776 of the family's 1533-position model. Lineage: Bacteria; Pseudomonadati; Pseudomonadota. The record is from RNAcentral.
UGGGGAAUAUUGGACAAUGGGGGGAACCCUGAUCCAGCCAUGCCGCGUGUGUGAAGAAGGCCUUAUGGUUGUAAAGCACUUUAAGCGAGGAGGAGGGUACUGGUAUUAAUACUACCGGCUACUGGACGUUACUCGCAGAAUAAGCACCGGCUAACUCUGUGCCAGCAGCCGCGGUAAUACAGAGGGUGCGAGCGUUAAUCGGAUUUACUGGGCGUAAAGCGUGCGUAGGCGGCUAAUUGAGUCGGAUGUGAAAUCCCCGAGCUUAACUUGGGAAUUGCAUUCGAUACUGGUUAGCUAGAGUGUGGGAGAGGAUGGUAGAAUUCCAGGUGUAGCGGUGAAAUGCGUAGAGAUCUGGAGGAAUACCGAUGGCGAAGGCAGCCAUCUGGCCUAACACUGACGCUGAGGUACGAAAGCAUGGGGAGCAAACAGG